AUUCAUUUGAAGAUUUUACAAGCAAUCUUAGUGUUGAUGAUAUUGAAGCACUUGAUGAUGAAGAUAAUCUUAUAGAGGCAUUGCUUUUGAAUGAUGAAGAUGAGGAUGAGUACAUGUGGAAUGAGAUGAUUACAAGCGUCAUUCAUCAAUUAAAUGUGAUGAAGCAGGUUCCUCGACUAUGUCGAACUAGACCAUUCUCUGGUCAUAUGCUUGUAGAAGAUAUGUUGGCUGGACAUCCUGAUCGUUCAUAUUCUUGCUUUCGAAUGAGUUCUAAGAUUAUAUCCAACUUCUCAUGGCUGACGUAGACGAUCAUCCUAAGAUUCGAGAGAAUCCCAAUUUCUUUCCAUAUUUCAAGAAAGCAUUGGGAGCAAUUGAUGGAUCUCAUAUUCCUAUAAUUGUGAAAAAAAGAAACACAACAGGUAUCGUAAUUGAAAGAAUUUCAUAUCUCAAAAUGUAAUGGCAGCGUGCUCCUUUGAUCAUACUUUUCUUUAUAUGGCUGCUGGAUGGGAGGGGUCAGCAUCUGAUAUGUCAGUACUUCGUGCAACACUAGAAGAUGGUAAAUUUAAUGUUCCUGAAGGUCGAUUUUACUUAGUUGACUCGGGAUAUGCUAAUACUUCAAAAUUUAUCGCCCCAUAUCGUGGAUCACGCUAUCAUCUUGGAGAUUUUGCAAAUAGGACCACCAAAGCUUAUCGAGAUACUAAAGACAAAUAUAAUCAUAGGCAUGCACAACUACGUAAUGCAGUGGAAAAAGCAUAGGGAAUUUUAAAGCAAAGAUUCAAAAUUUUAAAAGUUACUGCUCCAUUUCCUUAUAAAACUCAAGUCAAAAUCGUUGUAGCUUGUUGUGUUCUUCAUAAUUUUAUUGCAAGGCAGCAGAGAAAUGAUAAAUACUUUAAUAUGCUCAAUGGAUUAGAGAUGCAUGAGGAUGAAGAUGAGGUGGAGGAGGAAGAAGACACCCAAUACAUGGUUGGUGCAGAUGAAAGUUUAAGGGGUGAGCAGCUUCGCAACAGGAUUGCUUUACAGCUUUGGAAUAAUUGAAAUAUGUAGUUGUCGAAUAUUGAAGCAUAAGGAGGUUGAAUUAUGUCUUUUACUAUCUUUAUAUGAGAAAAACUUAUAAUUU
Long non-coding RNA from Asparagus officinalis (garden asparagus), 1117 nucleotides. RefSeq lists it as uncharacterized. The transcript has 4 exons. NCBI's taxonomy places the organism in Eukaryota, Viridiplantae, Streptophyta, Magnoliopsida, Asparagales, Asparagaceae. The record is from RefSeq and is a predicted model, not a curated record.